UGGCGGACGGGUGAGUAACGCGUGGGUAACCUGCCUUACACAGGGGGAUAACACCUGGAAACAGGUGCUAAUACCGCAUAAGCGCACAGGGCCGCAUGGCCCGGUGUGAAAAACUCCGGUGGUGUAAGAUGGACCCGCGUCUGAUUAGCUUGUUGGCGGGGUAGAGGCCCACCAAGGCGACGAUCAGUAGCCGGCCUGAGAGGGUGGACGGCCACAUUGGGACUGAGACACGGCCCAAACUCCUACGGGAGGCAGCAG
Molecule: ribosomal RNA, 258 nt
Filed under: uncultured bacterium
Lineage: Bacteria
Description: partial 16S ribosomal RNA
Rfam family: Bacterial small subunit ribosomal RNA
Source: RNAcentral